GGUCAAGCGAACAAGUGCAUGUGGUGGAUGCCUUGGCGAUCACAGGCGAUGAAGGACGCGGUAGCCUGCGAAAAGCUACGGGGAGCUGGCAAACGAGCUUUGAUCCGUAGAUGUCCGAAUGGGGAAACCCGGCCCUUUUGGGUCAUCCUGGACUGAAUACAUAGGUCCAGUGAAGCGAACGCGGUGAACUGAAACAUCUAAGUAACCGCAGGAAAAGAAAUCAACCGAGAUUCCCAAAGUAGUGGCGAGCGAAAUGGGAUGAGCCUUGCACUCUUUAUUUGUAUUGUUAGCCGAACGCUCUGGAAAGUGCGGCCAUAGCAGGUGAUAGCCCUGUAGGCGAAAACAGUAUGAAAGAACUAGGUGUGCGACAAGUAGGGCGGGACACGUGAAAUCCUGUCUGAAGAUGGGGGGACCAUCCUCCAAGGCUAAAUACUCGUGAUCGACCGAUAGUGAACCAGUACCGUGAGGGAAAGGCGAAAAGAACCCCGGGAGGGGAGUGAAAUAGAUCCUGAAACCGCAUGCAUACAAACAGUCGGAGCCUCGCAAGGGGUGACGGCGUACCUUUUGUAUAAUGGGUCAGCGACUUACGUUCAGUAGCAAGCUUAACCGUAUAGGGCAGGCGUAGCGAAAGCGAGUCCGAAUAGGGCGUUCAGUUGCUGGGCGUAGACCCGAAACCAGGUGAUCUAUCCAUGGCCAGGAUGAAGGUGCGGUAACACGUACUGGAGGUCCGAACCCACUAACGUUGAAAAGUUAGGGGAUGAGCUGUGGAUAGGGGUGAAAGGCUAAACAAACCUGGAAAUAGCUGGUUCUCUCCGAAAACUAUUUAGGUAGUGCCUCGUGUCUCACCUUCGGGGGUAGAGCACUGUCAUGGUUGGGGGGUCUAUUGCAGAUUACCCCGCCAUAGCAAACUCCGAAUACCGAAGAGUGCAAUCACGGGAGACAGACAUCGGGUGCUAACGUCCGGUGUCAAGAGGGAAACAACCCAGACCGCCAGCUAAGGUCCCCAAAUAUAGCUAAGUGGGAAACGAAGUGGGAAGGCUAAAACAGUCAGGAGGUUGGCUUAGAAGCAGCCACCCUUUAAAGAAAGCGUAAUAGCUCACUGAUCGAGUCGUCCUGCGCGGAAGAUGUAACGGGGCUAAGCUAUAUACCGAAGCUGCGGAUGCGAGCUUGCUCGCAUGGUAGGAGAGCGUUCCGUAAGCCUGCGAAGGUGCCUUGUAAAGGGUGCUGGAGGUAUCGGAAGUGCGAAUGCUGACAUGAGUAGCGAUAAAGGGGGUGAAAGGCCCCCUCGCCGUAAGCCCAAGGUUUCCUACGCAACGUUCAUCGGCGUAGGGUGAGUCGGCCCCUAAGGCGAGGCAGAAAUGCGUAGCUGAUGGGAAGCAGGUCAAUAUUCCUGCACCAUUGUUAGAUGCGAUGGGGGGACGGAUCGCGGAAGGUUGUCCGGGUGUUGGAAGUCCCGGUCGCUGCAUUGGAGAAGGCGCUUAGGCAAAUCCGGGCGCGUAAUUCAAGGGUGUGGCGCGAGCUCCCUAGGGAGCGAAGCAAUUGGAAGUGGUUCCAAGAAAAGCCUCUAAGCUUCAGUCUAACGAUGACCGUACCGCAAACCGACACAGGUGGGCGAGAUGAGUAUUCUAAGGCGCUUGAGAGAACUCGGGAGAAGGAACUCGGCAAAUUGGUACCGUAACUUCGGGAUAAGGUACGCCCUUGUAGCUUGACUGGCCUGCGCCAGGAGGGUGAAGGGGUUGCAAUAAACUGGUGGCUGCGACUGUUUAAUAAAAACACAGCACUCUGCAAACACGAAAGUGGACGUAUAGGGUGUGACGCCUGCCCGGUGCCGGAAGAUUAAAUGAUGGGGUGCAAGCUCUUGAUUGAAGUCCCGGUAAACGGCGGCCGUAACUAUAACGGUCCUAAGGUAGCGAAAUUCCUUGUCGGGUAAGUUCCGACCUGCACGAAUGGCGUAACGAUGGCCACACUGUCUCCUCCCGAGACUCAGCGAAGUUGAAGUGUUUGUGAUGAUGCAAUCUACCCGCGGCUAGACGGAAAGACCCCAUGAACCUUUACUGUAGCUUUGCAUUGGACUUUGAACCGAUCUGUGUAGGAUAGGUGGGAGGCUAUGAAACCGGAACGCUAGUUUCGGUGGAGCCGUCCUUGAAAUACCACCCUGGUUUGUUUGAGGUUCUAACCUUGGCCCGUGAUCCGGGUCGGGGACAGUGCAUGGUAGGCAGUUUGACUGGGGCGGUCUCCUCCCAAAGCGUAACGGAGGAGUACGAAGGUACGCUAGGUACGGUCGGAAAUCGUGCUGAUAGUGCAAUGGCAUAAGCGUGCUUAACUGCGAGACCGACAAGUCGAGCAGGUGCGAAAGCAGGUCAUAGUGAUCCGGUGGUUCUGUAUGGAAGGGCCAUCGCUCAACGGAUAAAAGGUACUCUGGGGAUAACAGGCUGAUACCGCCCAAGAGUUCAUAUCGACGGCGGUGUUUGGCACCUCGAUGUCGGCUCAUCUCAUCCUGGGGCUGUAGCCGGUCCCAAGGGUAUGGCUGUUCGCCAUUUAAAGAGGUACGUGAGCUGGGUUUAAAACGUCGUGAGACAGUUUGGUCCCUAUCUGCCGUGGGCGUUGGAUAUUUGAAGGGGGCUGCUCCUAGUACGAGAGGACCGGAGUGGACGAACCUCUGGUGUACCGGUUGUCACGCCAGUGGCAUCGCCGGGUAGCUAUGUUCGGAAGAGAUAACCGCUGAAAGCAUCUAAGCGGGAAACUCGCCUUAAGAUGAGAUAUCCCUGGGGACUAGAUCCCCUUGAAGGGUCGUUCGAGACCAGGACGUUGAUAGGUCAGGUGUGUAAGCGCAGUAAUGCGUUCAGCUAACUGAUACUAAUUGCCCGUAAGGCUUGAUCCU
RNAcentral lists this ribosomal RNA (2881 nucleotides) under Burkholderia orbicola. RNAcentral describes it as "23S ribosomal RNA". It matches the Rfam family "Bacterial large subunit ribosomal RNA". Lineage: Bacteria; Pseudomonadati; Pseudomonadota; Betaproteobacteria; Burkholderiales; Burkholderiaceae. The record is from RNAcentral.